GAUGAACGCUAGCGAUAGGCUUAACACAUGCCAGUCGAGGGGCAGCGAGGGUAGCAAUACCUGUCGGCGACCGGCGCACGGGUGAGUAACGCGUAUGUAACCUGCCCGCAACAGGGGGAUAACCCGGCGAAAGUCGGACUAAUACCGCAUAAAACAGGGGCCCCGCAUGGGAAUAUUUGUUAAAGAUUUAUCGGUUGCGGAUGGGCAUGCGUACCAUUAGGUAGUUGGUGAGGUAACGGCUCACCAAGCCUUCGAUGGUUAGGGGUUCUGAGAGGAAGGUCCCCCACACUGGUACUGAGACACGGACCAGACUCCUACGGGAGGCAGCAGUGAGGAAUAAUGGUCAAUGGGCGAGAGCCUGAACCAGCCAAGUCGCGUGAAGGAUGACUGCCCUAUGGGUUGUAAACUUCUUUUACAAGGGAAUAAAAUGAGAUACGUGUAUUUUAUUGCAUGUACCUUGGGAAUAAGCAUCGGCUAACUCCGUG
RNAcentral lists this ribosomal RNA (485 nucleotides) under uncultured bacterium. Its description in RNAcentral is "partial 16S ribosomal RNA". It matches the Rfam family "Bacterial small subunit ribosomal RNA", at positions 28 to 507 of the family's 1533-position model. The record is from RNAcentral.